RNAcentral lists this ribosomal RNA (512 nucleotides) under Platycerus cupreimicans. RNAcentral's name for it is "partial 16S ribosomal RNA". The stretch from base 126 to 327 matches the Rfam family "Archaeal large subunit ribosomal RNA", at positions 1796 to 2107 of the family's 2987-position model. Lineage: Eukaryota; Metazoa; Arthropoda; Insecta; Coleoptera; Lucanidae. The record is from RNAcentral.
UUUUAUUAUUAAUUUAGAUUUAUUAAUCUUUAAAUAAUUUAUUAAUAUACCGUAUUGAAUAUUUAUUUAUGGGUAAUUAUGAUUAAAUUAGUAUAAUUUUUUGUAAGGUUAUUUAAACUUUUAAGAUAAAAUUAAGGAAUUCGGCAAAUUUGUUUUCUGCCUGUUUAUUAAAAACAUGUCUUUUAGUAAUUAUUUGAAGUCGGGCCUGCCCUAUGAUUAUUUAAAUGGCCGCGGUAUUUUGACCGUGCAAAGGUAGCAUAAUAAUUAGUUUCUUAAUUAGGAGCUGGUAUGAAUGGUUUGACAAGAAAACUUCUGUCUCUAUUUUAUUAUUAGAAUUUAACUUUUGAGUCAAAAGGCUUAAAUGUUUUUAAAAGACGAGAAGACCCUAUAGAAUUUUAUAUUUAACUUAAUUAAAAUUUUAUAGAUUAUUUAUUUUUAAUUAAGUUAAAUAUUUUGUUGGGGUGAUGGAAAAACUUAAAUAACUUUUUCUAUUUAAAUUCAUUAAUUUAUGA